Molecule: ribosomal RNA, 316 nt
Filed under: uncultured bacterium
Lineage: Bacteria
Description: bacterial SSU rRNA
Rfam family: Bacterial small subunit ribosomal RNA
Source: RNAcentral
UGGCUUCUAGUGGGUUGGGGGUAGUAAAGUCUUUUGGCGGUGUGGAUGGGCCCGCGGCCUAUCAGCUUGUUGGUGGGGUAAUGGCCUACCAAGGCGACGACGGGUAGCCGGCCUGAGAGGGUGACCGGCCACACUGGGACUGAGAUACCGGCCCAGACUCCUACGGGAGGCAGCAGUGGGGAAUAUUGCACAAUGGGCGCAAGCCUGAUGCAGCGACGCCGCGUGAGGGAUGACGGCCUUCGGGUUGUAAACCUCUUUCAAUAGGGACGAAGCGCAAGUGACGGUACCUAUAGAAGAAGGACCGGCCAACUACGUG